This 306-nucleotide ribosomal RNA is filed under the name uncultured bacterium. Its description in RNAcentral is "partial 16S ribosomal RNA". It matches the Rfam family "Bacterial small subunit ribosomal RNA", at positions 507 to 809 of the family's 1533-position model. The record is from RNAcentral.
GACAGCAGCAGCCACGGUAAGACGGAGGGUGCUAGCGUUGUUCGGAAUCACUGGGCGUAAAGGGCGCGUAGGCGGCCUGUUAAGUCGGAUGUGAAAGCCCGGGGCUCAACCCCGGAACUGCAUCCGAGACUGGCAGGCUUGAGACCGGGAGAGGAGGGUGGAAUAUCCAGUGUAGAGGUGAAAUUCGUAGAUAUUGGAUGGAACACCGGUGGCGAAAGCGGCUCUCUGGCCCGGAUCUGACGCUGAGGCGCGAAAGCGUGGGGAGCAAACAGGAUUAGAUACCCCGGUAGUCCCUGUCUCUUAUAA